AGUCUGUGAUGGAAGAGCUGAAAAAUUGUAGGAACACAUGCCAUAAAAUGAAAAUUAACUCUCAUCAAACUUUCUCUCAUCUCCCAUUCAAAUGGCAGUGGCUGCUGGCGUUGCGUCGUGGCAAACUUACGAAACCCCAAGCGACUUUGUGGACAUCUCCGACUGGAUUCCAAGGCAAAACCUGUUUCCCGCCAGGUGCCGGGUGUCGGUUUUCGGGUCACUGCCAAUACUCGUACUGUUCAAAUCCAAUUUGUGGGCGUCCCAGUUGACUCUAGCCUAAUGGUGCAUUGCCUAUUGUAUUCGGCUGCACUCAAACCUGUCAUUUGAUUAAAUAACAUGUCAAGGAAUGCAUU
Drosophila persimilis is the source of this 353-nucleotide long non-coding RNA. RefSeq lists it as uncharacterized. The transcript is spliced from 3 exons. The record is from RefSeq and is a predicted model, not a curated record. NCBI's taxonomy places the organism in Eukaryota, Metazoa, Arthropoda, Insecta, Diptera, Drosophilidae.